GAGGAAGACAGCAGACUCGAUGGCUUAGCUAAAGCAAGCCUGGUACUUCCCUCAAGCAGCUUGUGGAUUGUAGAUUCCUGCUAGGCCCUCCAGAACCAGCCCAAGGUCUCUUCCCCCAGAUCUGUCUGCUCUCAGCAUUUUCUCCAGAAAGUUUCAGGGAAAAGUGUGAGCGUGGAGCUGCCAUCUCCAUUUCACAGGAGAGGGACACGUGCUCAGAGAAGUUCUAGAUGUACAACGCUUUCCCAACUGCAAGUUGGCCUGUGGACACGGAGCGCGUCGACUGCUGUUGAAGAGGUCAGGUGGGGAGCAAGCCCUUGCUGGGAAUCCGAGAGCGCAUUGGUUUCCUCGAAACGCUCUGCGUGGAUCAAACAGUAAGUGCUCUCCUCUCCGUGAACGUUCCAGGAGAUCCGGCUAGGAGACAUUAAGCGUUUUGGCCGAGGGCACUUGGGCUCAGGGCCCGAGAUUCGAACCCUGGUGUCUCUGACCACAAAGGGUAUCUCAGAGUUUCCUCUGAGCUAUGUCUACCGAGUCCACGCGCUGAUGGGCCGCCAACCUCUCUCCCCUCCUGCGGUCUCUGGGGAGGAUGCUUCCACCCAGACUCUGGUUGCAACCCCAGUAGACACCGGCCUGGGAUGUGAAGGUUUCUA
RNAcentral lists this long non-coding RNA (647 nucleotides) under Capra hircus (goat). RNAcentral describes it as "lncRNA (ENSCHIG00000001222.1)". The record is from RNAcentral. Lineage: Eukaryota; Metazoa; Chordata; Mammalia; Artiodactyla; Bovidae.